Molecule: ribosomal RNA, 1080 nt
Filed under: Escherichia coli
Lineage: Bacteria; Pseudomonadati; Pseudomonadota; Gammaproteobacteria; Enterobacterales; Enterobacteriaceae
Description: partial 23S ribosomal RNA
Rfam family: Bacterial large subunit ribosomal RNA
Source: RNAcentral
AUAAUGGGUCAGCGACUUAUAUUCUGUAGCAAGGUUAACCGAAUAGGGGAGCCGAAGGGAAACCGAGUCUUAACUGGGCGUUAAGUUGCAGGGUAUAGACCCGAAACCCGGUGAUCUAGCCAUGGGCAGGUUGAAGGUUGGGUAACACUAACUGGAGGACCGAACCGACUAAUGUUGAAAAAUUAGCGGAUGACUUGUGGCUGGGGGUGAAAGGCCAAUCAAACCGGGAGAUAGCUGGUUCUCCCCGAAAGCUAUUUAGGUAGCGCCUCGUGAAUUCAUCUCCGGGGGUAGAGCACUGUUUCGGCAAGGGGGUCAUCCCGACUUACCAACCCGAUGCAAACUGCGAAUACCGGAGAAUGUUAUCACGGGAGACACACGGCGGGUGCUAACGUCCGUCGUGAAGAGGGAAACAACCCAGACCGCCAGCUAAGGUCCCAAAGUCAUGGUUAAGUGGGAAACGAUGUGGGAAGGCCCAGACAGCCAGGAUGUUGGCUUAGAAGCAGCCAUCAUUUAAAGAAAGCGUAAUAGCUCACUGGUCGAGUCGGCCUGCGCGGAAGAUGUAACGGGGCUAAACCAUGCACCGAAGCUGCGGCAGCGACGCUGAUGCGUUGUUGGGUAGGGGAGCGUUCUGUAAGCCUGUGAAGGUGUGCUGUGAGGCAUGCUGGAGGUAUCAGAAGUGCGAAUGCUGACAUAAGUAACGAUAAAGCGGGUGAAAAGCCCGCUCGCCGGAAGACCAAGGGUUCCUGUCCAACGUUAAUCGGGGCAGGGUGAGUCGACCCCUAAGGCGAGGCCGAAAGGCGUAGUCGAUGGGAAACAGGUUAAUAUUCCUGUACUUGGUGUUACUGCGAAGGGGGGACGGAGAAGGCUAUGUUGGCCGGGCGACGGUUGUCCCGGUUUAAGCGUGUAGGCUGGUUUUCCAGGCAAAUCCGGAAAAUCAAGGCUGAGGCGUGAUGACGAGGCACUACGGUGCUGAAGCAACAAAUGCCCUGCUUCCAGGAAAAGCCUCUAAGCAUCAGGUAACAUCAAAUCGUACCCCAAACCGACACAGGUGGUCAGGUAGAGAAUACCAAGGCGCUUGAG